This 3889-nucleotide long non-coding RNA is filed under the name Marmota monax (woodchuck). The stretch from base 2401 to 2531 matches the Rfam family "Small nucleolar RNA SNORA51". Lineage: Eukaryota; Metazoa; Chordata; Mammalia; Rodentia; Sciuridae. The record is from RNAcentral.
AAAGAGUACUUUAUAAUUCAUUUCAAGUAUGAACCUUAUUGAAAAAGUGAAAUAUACUGUGUUAGUACAUGUCAGAAAAAUCAGGGAAUCAGGAAAACAUCUAUUUGAAAAAUACAGUGAAGCUACUUUUUCUCGCACUGUGGAACUGCUGGGCAUUAUAAGGAAAGUACGUAGAUGAACAGGAAGAUGUGUGUGUGUGUUCUUUCUUCAAAAUGCCAAACUUACUGUUUAGAUAUGGAGCAUAGUUUUCAUUAGUGGUGUAGUUAGGCUCACAUAGGUGAGAGUGAGUGAGCAAGUGAGCCCCUACCUCCAGGGGGAAACCACAGUAAGAUCAAGCUGACCUUCUCCACUGGUCUGUGGGCCUUGCUUUAUCAACUGUAUGUCAGCAUAUUAUCUUUCUUUAGAAAUAAUGACUAUAAAUGUGCUACUUUGGAGGAAGGACAACUGCCUCCUUUUGUCCUCCUACCCUUAAUUGUUAUAAGGAAUCCUGGGGUAGAACUGUUGAUGCAGAGGUAAGAUAGAACACUUUGGAAAAAGUACUUACUUUGAGGGCCUUUGUGUCUUGUUGAUACCAGUACUGUGAUAGUAGUGAUGAGCGUGAUUGAGUAUGUGUUUCUCUGUGUGUAUGUGUAUACACGCAUAUAUAAGAGUUAGUGGUAGCAGCUAAGCAACUAGAUUAAUAAAAUGUGCAUUAAAUUUAGCUUUAUCAGGACCCUUUGUUGUUGAAAUAUCUGUGGAAAAACUAACCUGUCAGUGAAAAUUCUAGCAGAGGCAUGGAACAUGGGUGCAUUUAUAAAGCAAGGAGGGUUUGGAAUAAGUAGGAUCCACUGAGAGCAUUCACCUUUGAAGUACACACUGACAUUUCCUCUGCAGAGAAACAAUUUUCAAUCUUUGCUCUAGUUCCCAAACCUAUUCUUUACCACCAUUAACUGAUUUUGUUUAUUUUGUUGGUACUGUAUCCCUGGCCCCUGGGAGAGUGAAUAGUCACAGCAGGUUCUCAGUAAAUAUUUGUCAAAUGAAUACAAUUUGGAUAACCCUAGGUUGGGGGGGGGGGGAUGCUUGUUGUUGCUUUGUUUUGGUGCUGGGAAUUGAACCCAUGGGUACUUGAUCAUUGAAUUAUAUCCUAUCCCUUUUUAUUUUGAGACAGGGUCUUGCUAAAUUGCUGAGGGCUUCACUAUGUUGGUUUGGCUGGACUGGAACUUGUAAUUUUCCUGCCUCAGUUUCCCAAGUUGCUGAAAUUACAGAUGUGUGCCCACUGUACCUGGCAACACUAAGUUUUUAGAUUUACAUCUAUCCUGUCAUGGCAUAACAAGCCUUUCUCUUAUUAAUCAUCUCUUAAUUUACAAGUGGAGAGAAGACCAGAUAUCUUAUUGAUGAACCUCUAAAUUUACAAAUGGAGAGAAUGACCAGAUAUUUAAAGAAGUAAUUUUAUUUUGAAAUGAUCUUAGUUUCAGUAUAUAUGUUAUCACUAAAUUCUUGUGAGUUUGGUAGUGGGUCUGAAGACAGAGAAGUCUCAAGUGUGUUAUUACACUGACAUUUAACGAAUAUUGUGCUUGAGGUGUUCCACGCCAAGCAUUUUGCAUUUAUUAGCUCAUGCUUCACAACAGAUCUCUAGUAUUCCCAUUUCACUGACAUGGAGACUGAAGCUCUGCAAUACCUAUGAAAGCAUUGAAGUGGGGGUUGUUUUGUUGUUGUUAUUUGUUUUCAUUUUUGUUUUUGGUCAAAAGGCAGGCUUUGGGGGAGCAAAACUUGGAAAUAGUGUACAUAAUAAUUGAACAGAUCUUUCUUGCCAUGGGUAGAUGUGCAAGUGUGAGAUUAUUUAUAGGGAAAGCCAGAUUGUGAUCUGUGCUCAUGUUUUACAGAAGAAAGGCUCUGUAUUCCAACUAAAACAUUUCCAUAUUUGGGACUGACCAGAUUUGGUCUGUUAGGAGGUGGACAAUUGCCCUUUUAUGGCCACCCAGAUCCUCCAUUGCUGUCUUGUUUCUCUUUGACUUGGUGGCUCUGACACUCCCUCAAGCAGUCUUGUUCUCCUCUGUCUUUUGUUACUGCUCUCUUGGCUCCAGUGUUCUCUGUCUCCUUUGCUCUCUAUCCGCUCUUUGUACUCCACAGCUCCCUUCUCUCUUCCUUUCCUCCCUCCCAACUCAUUACUUGCAACUUGAGCAAACAAAAGAAUUUCCUCUGCAUUCUGACUAUAAAAGAAUAAUAAUGUGAACAUUGAAUAAAGUCAACUUUUGAGUCACAGAACCAGGCAGGCCAAGUGAGAAAGUGAGCUGGCCAACAAAGGUCAGUUAGGAGGAUGCUAUAAAAAUAGCAUAAAUCUUAGAUCCUAGGAGGCUGUCCAAAGUUCAAAGAACUGACCCAGGACAAGUAGUAUUUUGUUUUCAGAAUAAAGAGCUUGUUGACCUCCUGGUGCUUACCACAGACUGUGUUUUUAUGCUGAGUAUAUACAAAAGGGAGGCAGAGUAAACCUAUCCUAUAGACACGCCAGCCCAGGCCUCCUGUCUGGACUGUAUUGUGAAUGGGGGCUAUGGAGUUGAGGGAAAUGAACUUCUUGAGUACAGUGACCAGACCAGUACACCCAAGGUUAGUUCUUGAGGACUACUAGAAUCAAACCAAGAUAUUCGCAGCUGUCUUAAUCCACUUUGUACUGCUGUAACAAAAUACCACAGACUGGGUAAUGAAUGAAAAUAGUAUAUAUCUUACAGUUCCGGAGGUUGAGAAGAUUACCAUUGAGGGGCCACAUCUGGUGAGGUCCUUGCCUGCAACAUUGUAACAUGGUAGAAAGUAUAAGGUGGGCAAGAGGUUAUGCACAGGAAAGGGAGGUUAAGAAGGGGCUAAACCCAACUUUAUAACAAAUCCUCUCUCACAAUAUGACAAUCCAUUUAUGAAGGCAGAGCCUUUGGGAUGGAAACAACUCCCAUAAGGACCCGUCUCCAAACACUGAUGCAUUGGGGAUUGAAUUUCCUACAUAAACUUUGGAGGACAUAUUUAGACUAUAGCAGUAGAUAAAAGGUGAACAUUAAAAAAUAACUUCCUUUCAACUUUUUUUUUCUCCCUUUCAAUUUUGAGUUUCAUCCCAAAGUUCUAAUUUAUACUUAGAAUGAAGGAUGUCUUUUCAAUCUGAUAUUUCUCUUCAUACCUAAAACUACUAACAUUUUUAAAUAACAGGAAGCUAAUUAAUCAACCAAAUUAUUAUCAGCUUAAACAUUGUGGCAUAUUAGAUAUUAGAUUAUUAUUACAGUAAAGAAUUACCUUUGGUGAAAUUGCUGGAGACCUACACAUUAUAUAUGCAAGUUUUUCUAUCAAUUGGUUUUAAGCAGCAAAACUAAAUGAAGGAACUAAUAAGGUGUAUACUGAGAGCCCCAAUUAGAUCUGGAUUGGCACUUCAUAGAAUCUUUCAAAAAUUCGGUAUUUUGAAGUGUCAACAUGCUUCAUAAAGAAUGGCUUUGUUGAGCCAGGUGCCGUGACACACACCUGUAAUCCCAGCAGCUUGGGAGGCUGAGACAAGGGGAUCCCAAGUUUAAAGCCAGCCUUAGCAACAGCAAGGUACUAAGCAACCCAGUGAGACCCUAUCUCUAAAUAAAAUAGGGCUGGGGAUGUGGCUCAGUGGUUGAGUGCCCCUAAGUUCAGUUCCUGGUACCAAAAAAAAAAAAGAAUGACUUUGUUGAGCAAGUGACAGUAACCUAUAACAUUGUAUUUGGGGGGAAUUCUCAUAGGGAAAAUAGUUUUAUUAAGAUGAGAAAUUAAUCAUUAUUUUUAGCUAUUUGAACUUGGUGAAACGUUCUCCUCAUUGAAAGAUUUGUAAAGUUAAUAUCAGCUCAUUCAUAAUUUUUUUCUCUUAUAGAAACAAACUUCAGAGGCAUUUCUUAUCAGUUUGUUUAUAAUCCUU